This 814-nucleotide long non-coding RNA is filed under the name Homo sapiens (human). RNAcentral describes it as "HSALNT0382374". The record is from RNAcentral. Lineage: Eukaryota; Metazoa; Chordata; Mammalia; Primates; Hominidae.
GCCUCACUCGAGCAGACCCCGCCCUCCCAGAGGCCGUUUGUCCAAGUCACGUGAUCGUCGAAUCUGUUGACCUGGCGCCACCGGAAAAAGAAAUUCCCGGGCCCUGGCUUCUUGGCCUGAUGGCACUGCUAGCCUUGAAGCCUCCAGCCUGCUGGAUGCCUCCAUCCCCGGCUAUGCUGUGGCUCUCCUCAUUCUAGGCCUCCUGCUCGUCACAUUCACCCUUGUCCUGGUGCUAAAGUGGAGGGCCUCCCAUGGGGUGUUCAGCCUGGGUGUGUAGAAGCACACAGUGUGGUACAGAGGACCCUCUCCAGACAGGCCCCACCUACCCCUCGCCUGUUCCCAGCUGCCUCCCACCAACCCUAGAAAUGAUGCUGGGAGCUGACAGAAACUGAACUUAGGAGCACAGGAGGCCAGGAGACCUGGGACAGAGAACAGGAGGUGACCCCUCAUGCUGCUGCUCCCUCUGCUGAAACCCAAACUGCAAACCUCUCCUCUCCCUGCCUUCACCUUGCCCCACGGCUUCCACAGACAGUGCCUCAACCCCGAGGAAUGAAUCCGAAGUUCCAACACCACUGACUUUCCCAGGAACUCAGAGCCAGAGAGGGCCAAGGACCAGCUCGAGGACACACAGCCAGGGCUUCUUCCCUCCGAAACCCCCAAGGACUGGACUUGCAGGGCUGGGACAGAGGUGGGGUGGGGGAAAGCAAUGCCUUGUCAACCCACGUGGGGAGCCCCACUCCCAUCCCCAAGGUGCAUAAAGUUGAGGAACACCCCUGCUCCCACGUCCAUGCUCAUUCAGGGCCCUGCUCCAAGU